GUGGAUGGGCUGUGCAGGAAGGGAGCUGUCAGCGAGCUGUUACUUACCUUUAUAGCAGCUCCUGUAAGCUCCCUUCUCCACCGUGCUGUUCAG
This is a non-coding RNA of Pelobates cultripes (western spadefoot toad), 93 nucleotides long. The record is from the annotation of a GenBank genome assembly. NCBI's taxonomy places the organism in Eukaryota, Metazoa, Chordata, Amphibia, Anura, Pelobatidae.